This 429-nucleotide ribosomal RNA is filed under the name Verrucomicrobiota bacterium. RNAcentral's name for it is "Verrucomicrobia bacterium partial 16S ribosomal RNA". It matches the Rfam family "Bacterial small subunit ribosomal RNA", at positions 355 to 776 of the family's 1533-position model. Lineage: Bacteria; Pseudomonadati; Verrucomicrobiota. The record is from RNAcentral.
UAGGGAAUCUUCCGCAAUGGACGAAAGUCUGACGGAGCAACGCCGCGUGAGUGAAGAAGGAUUUCGGUUCGUAAAACUCUGUUGUUAGGGAAGAAAAAAUGUAUAGUAACUAUAUACAAAAGAGACGGUACCUAACCAGAAAGCCACGGCUAACUACGUGCCAGCAGCCGCGGUAAUACGUAGGUGGCAAGCGUUGUCCGGAAUUAUUGGGCGUAAAGCGCGCGCAGGUGGUUUAGAAAGUCUGAUGUGAAAGCCCACGGCUCAACCGUGGAGGGUCAUUGGAAACUAAUAAACUUGAGUGCAGGAGAGGAAAGUGGAAUUCCUAGUGUAGCGGUGAAAUGCGUAGAGAUUAGGAGGAACACCGGUGGCGAAAGCGGCUUUUUGGCCUGCAACUGACACUGAGGCGCGAAAGCGUGGAGAGCAAACAGG